UAGAUAAAAAGCCAGUUCAUGCUUUUAUAGUAUGAAAAUUGGUGAUUUAUAAUAACUUAGCAAAUCGCAAAGUGAAAACAGGCGAUAAAUCAUUCAAGUUUCUGACCUAUCAGCUUUCGACGGUAUGGUAUUGGCUUACCGUGGCAGUGACGGUUAACGGGGGAUUAGGGUUCGAUUCCGGAGAGGGAGCCUGAGAAACGGCUACCACAUCUAAGGAAGGCAGCAGGCGCGCAAAUUACCCAAUUCUAACAGUUUGAGAGAGGUAGUAACAAGAAAUAACAAUACAAGGCAGUUAAAAUGCUUUGUAAUUGGAAUGAUAGAAAUUUAAACCCUUUUUAAAGUAUCAAUUGGAGGGCAAGUCUGGUGCCAGCAGCCGCGGUAAUUCCAGCUCCAAUAGCGUAUAUUAAAAUUGUUGCAGUUAAAAAGCUCGUAGUUGAAGUUCUGCUGAAAGUAACCGGUCUGCUUUUAAUAAAAGUGGUAUCUUGGUAUGUAUUUAGCAAUGAUGUCCUUUGAAGUGUUUUUUACUUUAUUGUAAUAAAGCAUAUUCAGGACUUUUACUUUGAGAAAAUUAGAGUGUUUCUAGCAGGCUAACGCUUUGAAUACUGCAGCAUGAAAU
RNAcentral lists this ribosomal RNA (616 nucleotides) under Hepatozoon canis. Its description in RNAcentral is "SSU rRNA". It matches the Rfam family "Eukaryotic small subunit ribosomal RNA", at positions 211 to 815 of the family's 1831-position model. The record is from RNAcentral. Lineage: Eukaryota; Apicomplexa; Hepatozoidae.